UGGGGAAUAUUGCACAAUGGGCGCAAGCCUGAUGCAGCAACGCCGCGUGAGGGACGACGGCCUUCGGGUUGUAAACCUCUUUUAGUAGGGAAGAAGCGAAAGUGACGGUACCUGCAGAAAAAGCACCGGCUAACUACGUGCCAGCAGCCGCGGUAAUACGUAGGGUGCGAGCGUUGUCCGGAAUUAUUGGGCGUAAAGAGCUCGUAGGCGGUCUGUCGCGUCUGCUGUGAAAACCCGAGGCUCAACCUCGGGCCUGCAGUGGGUACGGGCAGACUAGAGUGCGGUAGGGGAGAAUGGAGUUCCUGGUGUAGCGGUGGAAUGCGCAGAUAUCAGGAGGAACACCGAUGGCGAAGGCAGUUCUCUGGGCCGUAACUGACGCUGAGGAGCGAAAGCGUGGGGAGCGAACAGGAUUAGAUACCCUGGUAGUCCACGCCGUAAACGUUGGGCGCUAGAUGUGGGGACCAUUCCACGGUUUCCGUGUCGCAGCUAACGCAUUAAGCGCCCCGCCUGGGGAGUACGGCCGCAAGGCUAAAACU
Molecule: ribosomal RNA, 536 nt
Filed under: uncultured bacterium
Lineage: Bacteria
Description: partial 16S ribosomal RNA
Rfam family: Bacterial small subunit ribosomal RNA
Source: RNAcentral